GGUUAAGCGACUAAGCGUACACGGUGGAUGCCCUGGCAGUCAGAGGCGAUGAAGGACGUGCUAAUCUGCGAUAAGCGUCGGUAAGGUGAUAUGAACCGUUAUAACCGGCGAUUUCCGAAUGGGGAAACCCAGUGUGUUUCGACACACUAUCAUUAACUGAAUCCAUAGGUUAAUGAGGCGAACCGGGGGAACUGAAACAUCUAAGUACCCCGAGGAAAAGAAAUCAACCGAGAUUCCCCCAGUAGCGGCGAGCGAACGGGGAGCAGCCCAGAGCCUGAAUCAGUGUGUGUGUUAGUGGAAGCGUCUGGAAAGGCGCGCGAUACAGGGUGACAGCCCCGUACACAAAAAUGCACAUGCUGUGAGCUCGAUGAGUAGGGCGGGACACGUGGUAUCCUGUCUGAAUAUGGGGGGACCAUCCUCCAAGGCUAAAUACUCCUGACUGACCGAUAGUGAACCAGUACCGUGAGGGAAAGGCGAAAAGAACCCCGGCGAGGGGAGUGAAAAAGAACCUGAAACCGUGUACGUACAAGCAGUGGGAGCACGCUUAGGCGUGUGACUGCGUACCUUUUGUAUAAUGGGUCAGCGACUUAUAUUCUGUAGCAAGGUUAACCGAAUAGGGGAGCCGAAGGGAAACCGAGUCUUAACUGGGCGUUAAGUUGCAGGGUAUAGACCCGAAACCCGGUGAUCUAGCCAUGGGCAGGUUGAAGGUUGGGUAACACUAACUGGAGGACCGAACCGACUAAUGUUGAAAAAUUAGCGGAUGACUUGUGGCUGGGGGUGAAAGGCCAAUCAAACCGGGAGAUAGCUGGUUCUCCCCGAAAGCUAUUUAGGUAGCGCCUCGUGAAUUCAUCUCCGGGGGUAGAGCACUGUUUCGGCAAGGGGGUCAUCCCGACUUACCAACCCGAUGCAAACUGCGAAUACCGGAGAAUGUUAUCACGGGAGACACACGGCGGGUGCUAACGUCCGUCGUGAAGAGGGAAACAACCCAGACCGCCAGCUAAGGUCCCAAAGUCAUGGUUAAGUGGGAAACGAUGUGGGAAGGCCCAGACAGCCAGGAUGUUGGCUUAGAAGCAGCCAUCAUUUAAAGAAAGCGUAAUAGCUCACUGGUCGAGUCGGCCUGCGCGGAAGAUGUAACGGGGCUAAACCAUGCACCGAAGCUGCGGCAGCGACGCUGAUGCGUUGUUGGGUAGGGGAGCGUUCUGUAAGCCUGUGAAGGUGUGCUGUGAGGCAUGCUGGAGGUAUCAGAAGUGCGAAUGCUGACAUAAGUAACGAUAAAGCGGGUGAAAAGCCCGCUCGCCGGAAGACCAAGGGUUCCUGUCCAACGUUAAUCGGGGCAGGGUGAGUCGACCCCUAAGGCGAGGCCGAAAGGCGUAGUCGAUGGGAAACAGGUUAAUAUUCCUGUACUUGGUGUUACUGCGAAGGGGGGACGGAGAAGGCUAUGUUGGCCGGGCGACGGUUGUCCCGGUUUAAGCGUGUAGGCUGGUUUUCCAGGCAAAUCCGGAAAAUCAAGGCUGAGGCGUGAUGACGAGGCACUACGGUGCUGAAGCAACAAAUGCCCUGCUUCCAGGAAAAGCCUCUAAGCAUCAGGUAACAUCAAAUCGUACCCCAAACCGACACAGGUGGUCAGGUAGAGAAUACCAAGGCGCUUGAGAGAACUCGGGUGAAGGAACUAGGCAAAAUGGUGCCGUAACUUCGGGAGAAGGCACGCUGAUAUGUAGGUGAAGUCCCUCGCGGAUGGAGCUGAAAUCAGUCGAAGAUACCAGCUGGCUGCAACUGUUUAUUAAAAACACAGCACUGUGCAAACACGAAAGUGGACGUAUACGGUGUGACGCCUGCCCGGUGCCGGAAGGUUAAUUGAUGGGGUCAGCGCAAGCGAAGCUCUUGAUCGAAGCCCCGGUAAACGGCGGCCGUAACUAUAACGGUCCUAAGGUAGCGAAAUUCCUUGUCGGGUAAGUUCCGACCUGCACGAAUGGCGUAAUGAUGGCCAGGCUGUCUCCACCCGAGACUCAGUGAAAUUGAACUCGCUGUGAAGAUGCAGUGUACCCGCGGCAAGACGGAAAGACCCCGUGAACCUUUACUAUAGCUUGACACUGAACAUUGAGCCUUGAUGUGUAGGAUAGGUGGGAGGCUUUGAAGUGUGGACGCCAGUCUGCAUGGAGCCGACCUUGAAAUACCACCCUUUAAUGUUUGAUGUUCUAACGUUGACCCGUAAUCCGGGUUGCGGACAGUGUCUGGUGGGUAGUUUGACUGGGGCGGUCUCCUCCUAAAGAGUAACGGAGGAGCACGAAGGUUGGCUAAUCCUGGUCGGACAUCAGGAGGUUAGUGCAAUGGCAUAAGCCAGCUUGACUGCGAGCGUGACGGCGCGAGCAGGUGCGAAAGCAGGUCAUAGUGAUCCGGUGGUUCUGAAUGGAAGGGCCAUCGCUCAACGGAUAAAAGGUACUCCGGGGAUAACAGGCUGAUACCGCCCAAGAGUUCAUAUCGACGGCGGUGUUUGGCACCUCGAUGUCGGCUCAUCACAUCCUGGGGCUGAAGUAGGUCCCAAGGGUAUGGCUGUUCGCCAUUUAAAGUGGUACGCGAGCUGGGUUUAGAACGUCGUGAGACAGUUCGGUCCCUAUCUGCCGUGGGCGCUGGAGAACUGAGGGGGGCUGCUCCUAGUACGAGAGGACCGGAGUGGACGCAUCACUGGUGUUCGGGUUGUCAUGCCAAUGGCACUGCCCGGUAGCUAAAUGCGGAAGAGAUAAGUGCUGAAAGCAUCUAAGCACGAAACUUGCCCCGAGAUGAGUUCUCCCUGACUCCUUGAGAGUCCUGAAGGAACGUUGAAGACGACGACGUUGAUAGGCCGGGUGUGUAAGCGCAGCGAUGCGUUGAGCUAACCGGUACUAAUGAACCGUGAGGCUUAACCUU
RNAcentral lists this ribosomal RNA (2904 nucleotides) under Escherichia coli. RNAcentral describes it as "23S ribosomal RNA". It matches the Rfam family "Bacterial large subunit ribosomal RNA". Lineage: Bacteria; Pseudomonadati; Pseudomonadota; Gammaproteobacteria; Enterobacterales; Enterobacteriaceae. The record is from RNAcentral.